Molecule: long non-coding RNA, 4065 nt
Filed under: Sus scrofa (pig)
Lineage: Eukaryota; Metazoa; Chordata; Mammalia; Artiodactyla; Suidae
Description: lncRNA (ENSSSCG00005018581.1)
Source: RNAcentral
UUUUUUUUGUUUUUGUCUUUUUAGGGCUACACCUGUGGCAUAUGGAGGUUCUCGGUCUAGGGGUCGAUUCAGAGCUGUAGCCAGCCAGCCUAUGCUACAGCUACAACAAUGCGGGAGCCGGGAGGUCCCGUGGUGGCACCGUGGUUAACAAAUCCAACUAGGAACCAUGAGGUUGUGGGUUCGAUUCCUGGCCUUGCUCAGUGGGUUAAGGAUCUGGUGUUGCCAUGAGCUGUGCAAUGCUGAACACUUAACCCACUGAGCGAGGCCAGGGAUCAAACCUGCGUCCUCAUGGCUGCUAGUCAGAUUUGUUUCUGCUGAGCCACGAUGGGAACUCCAUCACUGCAUUUAUAUGUCAGUUUCUGGAAGCCUCUGCCAGGACUCAGAAUUCUCAUGUGCACAUCGGAAAGCUGAACGAUCCAAACUCUUGGUCUCUCCCAGUCCUCUGAGCACGUGCGCAGCCUUCUUUACCACAAAGCUCCAAGCAUUUACUAUACAACAAACUACCCAAAAACUUGGUGGCUUAAAACCACCCCCAUUUUAUUAUCUUACAAUUGUGUGGACUAGAAAUUCAGAGAGGGCUCAGCCAUCCCAUUUUUCUGCUUCACCUGGUAUCAAUUCACUUGGUAUCAAGGAAGGAAGACCCAAGACGGGCGCACUCACAUGUCUCGUGCCCACGAUGGCUGGAAAGCUGAGCCCAGCUGGGACUGUCCUCUGGAGCACAUGUUGGUGGCCUUUCAAGACAUCAAGGGGAAUCAAGGGAAUGAAUUUUUUUUUUUUUUUUUGUCUUUUGUCUUUUGUCUUUUGUCUUUUUAGGGCUGUACUAGGCUAGGGGUUGAAUCAGAGCUGUAGCUGCUGGCCUACACCACAGCCACAGCAAUGCAGGAUCCGAGCCGCAUCUGCAACCUACACCACAGCUCACGGCAGAUCCUUAACCACUGAGCGAGGCCAGGGAUGGAACCCGAAACCUCAUGCUUGCUAGUCGGGUUCGUUAACCAUUGAGCCUCAGAGGGAACUCCAAGGGAGUGAAUUCUUUCGUGGCAGCUCCCAUGAGCCUCCUAGAGCUCAGAGCUCCCAGGACAGCACUCGAAGGAGCCCAGCAGGGAGUUUCUGGUCUAACCACAGAAGUCACAGAAUAUCACUUCCACUGCAUCCUGCAGGCCAAGAAAACCACCAAGGUGAGGUCAGAUUCAAGUAGAGGGAAACUGGGCCCUACCCCUCAAUGGAAGAAGUAGCAAAGGAAUUGUGGCCAUUAUUGACCCAUUACGAAUGUGGUUCACAGAAGAAGGAAAAUAGGGAAUUCCAAUCACUAACCCUAUGGUCAGAGAAAAAAAACCUAGACUCAGUAUUAAAAUGUUAGGAAAGGUACCUUUUGUGUUUUAAACUAAAAUGUUUAAGAUAUGUAGGUCCUAUUUUUAUAUUGAUUCACCAACCUUUUUUUUAACUAGUUAUAUAGGAUAAGAUCUUAUCUCUCUAUUGUAAGUUUUUAAAAAUUCAAGAACUUAGAUCCAUGACAAUUUCUUAUUUGUAUUUAAGGAUUCAAAGCACAAAGCACAGGGUGUACUUGCUAAUUCAGGUCAAAAAAAAAAAAAAAGGUGCCCACUCUUUUUUUGCCCCAGAGCUGCCUGCUCCAGCCUUGGUGGUUUGUAUGGCAAGGCUCCAUUUCCUAGAACUAAGCUGCCUUUGCUGCCAGCCGUCUGCACCGCCUCUUUCCAGUUCAUCUUGGCUGAAGCUGCCAUUUUCCAGAGCAAACCUCAGCCCCAUUCCUUUCAAAACACAGAGACUGUCUCUGACAGCUUCUAACUUAAGCUGGGUGAUGCUCCCACUCCAGAAUUCCAAGAAAAAUUAAUGCUUUCCUAACUCAGGUUUUGAAAUACCCACCACCUACCAACCCCUACAGCUCGGGCCCCUGAGAGUUUCACUAGAGCUCCAACCCCAGGGGCCCUCACACCCCCAGCACCCCUAGACGCUCUCAGUGGCCCAUCAGAAGCUGCACACCUGAGUCCUCUCAUCCUUUGUUGCCCUGGGAACCAUCUCUGGGCUUCCUCUCCCCUUCCCCCACCCCAAAGGUGCCUUCUCCACCUGUCUCUGGCAAAAUAGUUCUCGAACUUUCUACUUCCCCAUUCAGCCCUUUCCAGUUAACCUCACCCAAGGUUGUCCUCGCCUCGUGUCGAAUCCUAGCACUCCUCUGCCAGGGCUCCAGGCCGCCUCUGUCCCUGUAGCACGUGCAGUGCUCGAAGACCACGUCUAGCCUGUCGCACGUUUCCCUUUUCCCCCAAAAUGUGAACUUUGGUCACUCUCAUGGCAGGUGAAAGGGAUCAAAUGAGGCCAGGGAAUUGAACCUUAGCCACAGCAGUGACAACACUGAAUUUUUAACUACUAGGCCACCAGGGAACUCCCAAAAUGCAAACAUCUUGAGAGCAGAGACCAUGGUUUGUGUGUGGUGUAUGUGAGAGAGAGAGAGAGGGAGACGGGGGUGGGGGGGAGAUUUUAAAAUUAUUAUUCAGUAUAGAGAAUAGACUUGGGCUUCCUAAUACAUGCUCUAAAGAUGCAUAUUGAAAUUAAAUGUCAAAAAAAUGUACAUAAAUUGUGCCAGGCACUGGACUAAGCACUUUACAUUAUUUAAUUCAUACAUUUAAUCCUCAUCCUCUACCACUAUUACUUCCUCUAGGGUCUAAUUUUAACAAAAUUCCACCAAAAGGAAGAAUUGGGACAUCCCACAUAACUCAUUUGGACUGGGAUGUGGCACCCGGAACAAGCGCCCCUCCGAACGCCCGAAGACGGCGUGCGCGUUGUCAGGUGCGAUCAGCGACUUCCUGGCAGGUGUGCUCAGGUGUGUUAGGAGGGACACAGCUCUGACGGCGGGCAGAGAAUGAGACCGAUAAGCCUGUGCUCUGGGAUCCAGGCGCUCACAAGCAAGGGGCAAGAGGAGGUUUCCUGUUCUGGAUGAGAGGAGUCGUGUAGGAGGUAUGAGGAGGUAUGAGGAAUGAAGCCGUGGAAGUGAUGGGUGGACCUCAAACCCCACACCCCCAAAAAGGUCUGCCUUUAAUUGUUUUAUUAGAGAGUUCACCAAAAUUGGAACCAGGAAGAAAAAGAACAAGCCACAGAAAUUUGUUCUUGGCUCCAGUCAGACAGCUGAGCCCCAAACUGCGAUUCUAAAGUCUGUUUGCUAUUGAACAGGCGAAUCGAGGACCAAAAGGCACUGGCACAUCUAGUGGGCUCACAGGAGCCAUGGCCAAGUUGAGGGUUAGGGACAUGUGCCAGCAGCACGCUCGGGUACACUCUGUCCCUGCCCGAGUCUACUGCAGUAAUUAGCUUUGCUCAUUAGUUUCAAGUAAAUAAUCUCCUUGUCACAGCUGGGAUCCUUUAUCAGAACAGUGGACAUCAGGGUUUGCAAAAGCAAAGGAUCCCCCCCCCCACCCCCAGAAUUCCCUGGAACACUAAGUCAUGACCCAGAGAUUUGAAUGAAGGAAGGAAAUGUCCAAAGAGGUCUAAAAUUCCAAGGAAUAGCUCUGUCUAGAGAGUGGAAGCAUUGGGUAUGAAAAACAAAUGAAAAACAACAACAAAACCUUUGAAAUGGAUAUUGAUCUGUUCUUCAACUCAGUUUAAGUUCAGAUCAACAAAGACACGUAACUAUCUGCUAUAUAGCAGGAAAUGCAGCCCAGACCUCAGAGAUCCUGGGAGGAAACGGGUAAUAAAUGCACAAAUAGCAUUAACAUGCUAGUAAUGCACUCUGAUGGCAGAAUGUGCGGAGGGAGGGUGCCCAAGCCUGCCUGGGUCUUCAGGGAGGAUUUCCCGGAGGUGUGACUGGCACUGAUUUAAGACGAGAAGGAGCAGCGAGGAGCACUUCUGCAAGACUUGCAGAGGAGGGAGGCCUGGGCAUGAUUCUGAGCCUUUUAAAACAAUGGGCAAAAUACAUACGCUCAACCUUUUAUCCCUUGGUAUCCCAUCAUUAUGCCCAUUUCGAGGAAGGAGAAAAUGAAGAGAGAUUUCAACGCUGCCCGUGGAUUGCCUGUGGGGUUGGGGUUGAGGGAGGACAAUGCUGGGAUAGUGAGGCAGGACCCUACC